AACGCACAUUGCGCCCCUUGGCAUUCCAUUGGGCAUGCCUGUUCGAGCGUCAUUUCCACUCUCAAGCAAUGCUUGGUGUUGGGUGUUUGUUUGUGCUUAUUGCAUGAACUCGCCUUAAAAGUAUUGGCAGCAGCUUACCAGCCUCCCGCGCAGCACAAUGCGCUCUAUGGGGUUUGGCAGGCCAGCGUCCACAAGAUAUUUCUAGGUUGACCUCGAAUCAGGUAGGGAUACCCGCUGAACUUAA
Molecule: unclassified non-coding RNA, 244 nt
Filed under: Odontia sp.
Lineage: Eukaryota; Fungi; Basidiomycota
Description: partial contains 5.8S ribosomal RNA, internal transcribed spacer 2, and large subunit ribosomal RNA
Source: RNAcentral